RNAcentral lists this ribosomal RNA (468 nucleotides) under uncultured bacterium. RNAcentral's name for it is "partial 16S ribosomal RNA". It matches the Rfam family "Bacterial small subunit ribosomal RNA", at positions 28 to 507 of the family's 1533-position model. The record is from RNAcentral.
GACGAACGCUGGCGGCGUGCUUAACACAUGCAAGUCGAACGGAAAGGCCCUGCUCUUGUGGGGUGCUCGAGUGGCGAACGGGUGAGUAACACGUGAGUAACCUGCCCUUGACUUUGGGAUAACUUCAGGAAACUGGGGCUAAUACCGGAUAGGAGCUCCUGCUGCAUGGUGGGGGUUGGAAAGUUUCGGCGGUUGGGGAUGGACUCGCGGCUUAUCAGCUUGUUGGUGGGGUAGUGGCUUACCAAGGCUUUGACGGGCAGCCGGCCUGAGAGGGUGACCGGCCACAUUGGGACUGAGAUACGGCCCAGACUCCUACGGGAGGCAGCAGUGGGGAAUAUUGCACAAUGGGCGGAAGCCUGAUGCAGCAACGCCGCGUGCGGGAUGACGGCCUUCGGGUUGUAAACCGCUUUCGCCUGUGACGAAGCGUGAGUGACGGUAAUGGGUAAAGAAGCACCGGCUAACUACGUG